Non-coding RNA from Callithrix jacchus (white-tufted-ear marmoset), 107 nucleotides. The record is from Rfam. Lineage: Eukaryota; Metazoa; Chordata; Mammalia; Primates; Cebidae.
GUGCUCACUUCGGCAGCACAUAUACUAAAAUUGGAAUGAUACAGAGAAGAUUAGCAUGGCCCCUACAGAAGGAUGACACACAAAUUUGUGAAGCAUUCCAUAUUAAA